RNAcentral lists this ribosomal RNA (197 nucleotides) under Duganella sp. OV458. RNAcentral's name for it is "16S rRNA. Bacterial SSU". It matches the Rfam family "Bacterial small subunit ribosomal RNA", at positions 1 to 209 of the family's 1533-position model. The record is from RNAcentral. Lineage: Bacteria; Pseudomonadati; Pseudomonadota; Betaproteobacteria; Burkholderiales; Oxalobacteraceae.
UUAAACUAAAGAGUUUGAUCCUGGCUCAGAUUGAACGCUGGCGGCAUGCCUUACACAUGCAAGUCGAACGGCAGCACGGAGCUUGCUCUGGUGGCGAGUGGCGAACGGGUGAGUAAUAUAUCGGAACGUACCCUGGAGUGGGGGAUAACGUAGCGAAAGUUACGCUAAUACCGCAUACGAUCUAAGGAUGAAAGUGG